GAUCAUGGCUCAGGAUGAACGCUAGCUACAGGCUUAACACAUGCAAGUCGAGGGGAAACGAUAUUGGAAGCUUGCUUCCGAUAGGCGUCGACCGGCGCACGGGUGAGUAACGCGUAUCCAACCUGCCCAUCACUUGGGAAUAACCUUGCGAAAGUAAGACUAAUGCCCAAUGACAUUUAUAGAAGGCAUCCGAAAUGAAUUAAAGAUUUAUCGGUGAUGGAUGGGGGAUGCGUCUGAUUAGCUUGUUGGCGGGGUAACGGCCCACCAAGGCGACGAUCAGUAGGGGUUCUGAGAGGAAGGUCCCCCACAUUGGAACUGAGACACGGUUCAAACUCCUACGGGAGGCAGCAGUGAGGAAUAUUGGUCAAUGGGCGAGAGCCUGAACCAGCCAAGUAGCGUGCAGGAAGACGGCCCUAUGGGUUGUAAACUGCUUUUAUAGGGGAAUAAAGUGAGCCACGUGUGGUUUUUUGCAUGUACCCUAUGAAUAAGGACCGGCUAAUUCCGUG
Molecule: ribosomal RNA, 506 nt
Filed under: uncultured bacterium
Lineage: Bacteria
Description: bacterial SSU rRNA
Rfam family: Bacterial small subunit ribosomal RNA
Source: RNAcentral